This is a non-coding RNA of Zonotrichia albicollis (white-throated sparrow), 5784 nucleotides long. The record is from RefSeq and is a predicted model, not a curated record. Lineage: Eukaryota; Metazoa; Chordata; Aves; Passeriformes; Passerellidae.
CUCUAUCUCAUUUAACUUGGCCUUUGGAAGACGCUUGUGGAAAUUUCUGCAAAGGAGGUGACAUCAGUUGUUGUCACAGCUGCUGUACCUUACAUUUCCUGUGAAGGAGGAACUCUGUGCUGUCCCCAUGGAAUGGGAAGGACUUGGAUGCUUCACUAAGACUUCUCCCUUCACCCUUGAUGAGCAGGUCCUGUGUUGUGUGGAGGCGUGCAGCAAUCUGGUCUGGAUGGAGAAAAUACCUCAGAAAACCCAAGAGGAAUGUUUACUUUGAAAGUUUCUCUCAUGAGUUUGUUUAAUCUUUCUAGUUAAAAAAAUUUCUUUAAAUAUAAAAUAAUGAUAAAUCCUGCUGGGAAAACCAAUUCCAAUGUGAUAAAACUCCUACAGUGUGAAGCAAGAACCACUCAAUUCAACUGCAAGGAGAAGGCAUGUUAUUUAAUCAAACAGAGGGUUAGAGAACAGCAUCAAAUAUGCAUUUUUAAAUUUGUUUCCAUUUCUUUUCUAGUCCAUUACACAGAUUUAAGUUACAUCUUGUGCAUCUUGUGGAAGAAAAUAGGUGUCCUAAUAGAGCCUUUGAAUAUAGUUAAAAUAACUUUAACAAGGCUACAGUAGGUCAGUGGCAGCACUUGGAAAAGAAGUUAGUUGAUGUUUUGCCCAGUUCUGUAUAUUUUAAUUAGCAAACUGGCCUGCCUCCCUGAAUUACAAUGGCAUUGUGAUACCUAAAUGUUCAGAAUCCUGAGCUUUAUAUAUUAACAUAGAACAUUUCUUGAACAGACUUAUAGCAAGAAAAUAUUGCAAGAAAUAUUGCAAUUUUCUUAUAUACCAAGAAAAUAUUGCUAUAGCUUCUUUACCAGUUGUGUCCCAGACUGCUUUUUACAUAGUAUUCAAGGAUGAUCUUGACAACAUAAUUAUCUUUUAGGGAAUAUAAAAUACCAGAGAUUAAAAUGGACAGAUCUGGAUAGGGCAGGAAUUUGCUAGCAGGAUGAUGUUCUAAAACCACUUUUGAAAAAUUAACAUGUUAUGAAAAUAAAUUAUUUUUUUAACAUUGUGCUGUUUUAUUUUUCUUUUAGAAAAGAAAAUGAAGCCUUCCGUUAUAGGACUAUUUAGUUUUGACUUUAUGUUAUCAUUAAAUAAAAAUGAUACCAGAACUGCAGAGGUAACAACUCUUCUGAAAGGCUGAGUCAACAGGAAAGAGAACAGUGAUCAGUGAAUAAAAGAAAUCUGGGAUGCCUUCACUUCAGAUAUUCAGUAAGGAAGAGGAAACAGCACAGGCCCUGCAGUGACCUUACUGUUGGGUGAUUCCAGGGAGCCACCUCAUUAUUCUGACUUGAAACUUCUCCAUCUCCAAAAUCAGAGAAAAACAUAGUAAGGAAACCUGAAGUGUUUUCCCUGUGCUUCUGCCAUGUCUAUAGAUUGUUUUUGGAGUGACUUCAAAGUGCUUUUCUCUAGACUGCACAUCAGUGCAGCUCUACCUGAGAGGACAGUUCCAUCAGAGAGCCGGCUUGUCUGCCUCUAUCAAACCCUGCAGUCACCUGUUCCAGGUACACAUUUAGUGUUCCCCAGUGAAAACCACAAUUUCACUUUGGUUUGAUGAGCAUGCUGUGAUUCCACUGUGAAUGCAGCUCAUCUUCCACAAAAAGAAGAAUAAGCUGUUUAAGGGCUAUUCCUUUUUAAGAACAAUACACCCCCGCCCCCCAACAACAACAAAAAGUAAAAAAGAGCCCCUAGCAAACUGCUGGAGGAAGGAUUUAUCGCCUCUGAGCGCAGCCAAGCACCGAAGCAGUCAGUCUCAGAUCCCCUCCCACAGAGCUGUACGCUGUGUCAAUACCUCCCUCUGCUGAAAGCUCGACAUUCUUCCUCUCCCGCUUGGCCGCCUUUGCUGUGGCAGAACUUGCGGAGAGCAGAAGGAAUCUGCGACACACACUGGAGCAGCCCUCGCUGCAACACAGCUGCCCUGCCGAGACUGCACCCUCUGGGGAGUGCAGAAACUUCAUCCGUUUGUCCCUCCCCAGCGGGACUGUGUGCAGACUAAAAUCUGAGAUUAGGGAAAGAUUAUAAUUUGGAGUCAGAUGACUUUUAAAAAUACUCUUUCAGGAACUCCUGUGAUGGGAUUCAGUCAUUGUAAAAGGACAAUCCGUUUGAAGGCAAUUCUAACUGUGUGUGCCUUACAAAUUAUUUUCCUUCAGUUUUAGUCACUUAACUAGUUUUUGUUCUAGAAAUAGUAAAAUUACUGUGUGGUUUGUGAUCCAUUGUGCUGCAUAAACUACCAUGUAAGACUUUAAGUAUUGUGUUACUCAAACAGAUUGAAUUAUCUUAAUGAUUGGAAAAUCUAUGAAUCAUCUCAACUACAACUGGUGUGGUUAUUAGGGACCUCAGUUUUUGAGAGGCUAUGGGAUUAGGGACCCAUGCCAGUCAUUUCUCAUCUCAGAUCAUUAUAAUAUAAAGAUUUUAAAGUGACCGACACAUUUUAUUUGUGUCUGUUUUAGGUACCCCAAAUGAGCAUACAAAAAGGGUAGUGAUUUUGUCAGAGGUGAAUGAUUGAAUUUAGCAGAGAAUCAAGCAACUUCCAGAUGUCUCAAAUUAGGCUCCUAAUUUUAGUAGAGGAAUACAAGCAAAAGACCCUAAUUCAAACCCAAUAUUUUUCUUUAUGCCUAUCACUCCCUUGGAAUUUUAGAGUGUCUGCCUGUGCUGUGGGAAAGGCUAAUGCUCUGCAAAGCCAUAGCUAAGCUACAGAGGUUCAUAGCUUUUCUUAGUUAAUAAUUUUUAAUAUUUCCUCAUUAUGUCCAGUGGCUUCAGAUCAGAUGAGUUUUCCCUCUAUUUGACGGCAGAUUGCAAACAACCAUUCUACAUCAACUUUGUUCUAGAAGAAGUCCAAAUGGGGCUGCUCCUAUUAACUUUUUCAACUGAACUUUUUAAUGUGUUCAGGGAAGUUUGGUAACGUUGGAGGUGAGAAGAGUAAUAAGGAAUAAGGAAAAACCAUAAAUUCUGUGUACAGAAAAUUGUUCUGGUUGGAUGGGGUUCAAAAAAAGCAAACAAUGCAGAGCAGGGGUAGAAAGCAGACAGGAGGGUGCAGGAAGGAGCACAGCUGUGGGGAAUAAAAACACUCAGGGGAAGGUCGUAUAAGGAGGAGAAGAAAUCAUCAUCACGUGGUGAAGUUUUCAGGAAGAUUCUAUUGUAUGCAGACUUGUAAGGAGAGCUGACCUUAAAUAGGAAGAAAUAAAGGACUACUUGCUACAAAAAUGAUGGUAGGAAUUAGGCUUUGUAGGAAGAGAGGAGGGCUUGAUUUAGAGUGUGCUGUGAGAUUGAGGUCUUAUGGCUCUCUGGAAGAUGGCUUUUCCUAGCAGGAGAAGCUUGGUCAGGGGAGCAUGGCUUGAGGAAGGGCACCCUGUAGAGAAACAGAGAUGCCAAAGAUACCUGUGUGAUUCAUUGAACAUAUAUUUUUUUAUGGAGGCUUGCUCAUUCUUAAUUAUGGUGCAGAAUAUUCUCCCAUCUUUUGCCUUGGAUAUUUAUAACUGGUAGAAAAAUGCCAGCAAAAUUAUUUGGUUUACAGAAGGAAAAGCUUGUCAUGUAUUUGUAGUUGACAUUUUUUCAAAAUUACAUGAUCUUAGCAUCCAAAUAAAAUCUUAAUAUAAGCCACUCAUACACAGGUUUUAUAAAAUGCUGGCUGUGACCUGCUGAGGCAAACCUGAGAAGCAGAGAUGCAAAAUUACUAAAAUGGAUAUGGAAAAACUGUUUAAUCUGGACUUCACUGGCAUAUUGGAUAUGCCAAAGUUUCUAGCAUUGAGCUGGAUGUUAUUACUGCUAAAAAGGCAUGUUUUUUGCCUCUGGCAUUUUUUCCCUCCCUCCCCCAGGCUGUGGUGCACAAGGAUGACUUAAAGAGUCAUCCCUAAGUCUGACUGAACUUUUCAGUAACAUAUGAGCAUUGAUGCACUUUGUGUUAGCUUAUUCUCUGUGAGAGUUUUAGGUGGUUGUGGUUAAGGUACAAUGUACCAUUCUGUGCUUUUGUGUUAACUGAGAUACUCUCAGCACUCAACUGAAUGUCUUCUCUAAACAGAGAUAGAUUAAGAUGGGGGCAGGCAGGCUGCAAAAUGUGCAUCCUGGCUGUAGCAGGGCAGUCAGAAAUGCAGCUGUAAUGCUGUGGGUAUGUAGCUGGGAGUCAGCUGAGUGACAAAGUCUAAAGCAGUGACUCAAUGGGAAUCUGCUGCUGGCUUUGGGUCUGAGGUUCUAGGUUCAGUUCUGUGAGCUUUUUAAAGGUUCCCCACACUCCCCAAGGCUCUUAAGGGAUCUUUAUGGAAGACAGAUGAAAUGAGGAUAUUAAAAGCCCCGUACUUAUAGCUCAACAGAACUCAAUUCACUUGUAUCACUCUUUCAGACAACAAGGUAUAUAUUUAUGUAGGGCUUUUUGCUCAACAGUGUGGCCAUACAACAGGAUGCUCCUAAUGAAGCUACAGUUUUAGUAUCAAAAAUGUCUGGACUAGCUGGGCCUAGAAUGCAAGAAGCACAUGAAUCUCUAGGAUAUCUAGAGUAACUUGAUAGGGGCACACUUCUCUUGCAAAAGCAGUGCCACAUGUUUAUUCUGCUUAGAUUGAAAAGUAAAACAAGAGACUCUAGGAGAUGGAAUGUGUAUGAGAAGGGCCCAUUAUCAGUUACGCUAAAUACUCAAUGAAACCUGAGGCCACACAAAUCUCAACUGGUUUCAAGUUUUCUUACAGUCGAAACUCGGAUCAGGUUCCUCGAGAGUUCAAGAAUUUCUAAGCAAAACUAGACCUGCUGAAUGCAUAGAACUUGAAUAGCAGCUUUGCAGUACAUGCUCAAAGCACUUGCUAUAAAUUAAUAACUUUCCACAGCACCCAUGUGAUUUAGAGACCUUUGAUUAGCCUUCUCUUGCAAUUCAGUCCACAGACAAACGAAAAAAUGGAUUUGUUAAGGGUUUUAGUAUGGAGUGAUGCACUUAAACAUUUCAUGGGGUGACUAACCUCUAUAGGUAGACCAUCUAGAUUCCUGUCUGGCUUUUAAGUAUGCACAAACUUUUACACGUAUUGUACUGAACUGGUCACCUCAGCAAAGUCUAUUUGUGGUGAGAGUGAGAUGAUCUAUCUUCAACAAAAGCUCUGUGACAACAAUACAGGUCUUGAUUUUGGUUUGUAAAUUAUUUUUUGUUUUAGUAUACUUGAUCAUUAUACAGACAGGUGAGCUAUUAAAUGGAGUAUUUGCAUAUGAUUGAAGAUUUGCUCUGCAAAUUCUGUGAUUUUAAUCCUGGUGCUCUCACUGUUCCUGAAUCCAAUGGCUGCAAAACCUGGUAAUAUGUGUAGUGUGAAUAUUUUUGUGAACAUAUUAUAAUGUACAAUUUCUGCUAGUUGUUAAUUUCUGGCAGAAGUCCUAUGGAAAAAUGCAUUAUGGCAGCAUUGUGACACGGAGUGGCUCAUUUGGAUGUCUGAGUGUCUACACGCACAUGUCCCCUCCCCUGGGUUCCCGAAGGACUUAUACAAUGCACACGUGCAACACCAACAGGAUGGCCCCUCCAUUAAGUGACCCAACAGGAAACCAGGAGAGUUAACUCCUGCUCCUCAUUCUUUGAAACUUUCUGCCUGCAACCCUGGGAAAUCCACUGAGGAAAACUGAGGCACGUCAAAUCUAUCAGUAAAACAGGAGACCAGGGUAACUUUGUGGUUGUAUUUGAGUAAUUUAAACUGGCAAGGAAAAAUAAAUACUUUAAAGGUACACUUCAGGAUUAUUAAAAAAUGUUGUUUUGGCUGUUUUCCAAUAACAAAAGCAGAUUUGAUGGUA